GGGGUCUUAACAAGCUUACGUGGCAAAUAAAUAAUUUAAUAUUCAUUACAUAAUAAAAUCAUUUUAUCAGCUUGGGCAAAAUGGUCAAGAUCUUAAAAAGCCCUAAUUAAAAUAAAAGAAAUAGGCUUAAAUAUGUUCUUCCUCAACCUCCAUGGAUUCCGGCCGGAAUCAACACCACCACCACCACCACCAAUCGUCCACCACCAACAGCAUCAACAACGGCCGAAAACCCAGACUCACGAAUCAGAGCCGUUGAUUCAGUUAAAUGGGCAUCAACACCACCACCAUCAUCACCACCAGCAGACGGUGGAGAAAGAAAUGAAAAGAUUACCUUCGUCAGUUCGGUUCAGCGCUUACCUUCGUCAGUUCUCAAUAACAAGCAUCAUCAUCAGUUAGUGAAAAAUGGAUCUAUUGAAAAGAAGGAACCAAUAACCACCAUUAAUUUUGCUCCGGUCGCGUUGACGGUAGAACCACCGGAGAAUGACGUCGUUGUUUUCGAAUCCGCCCAGAAAAUCAUCCUCCGCUGGGACUCCACGGUUUCGGAGGCAAGAGAGAGAAUGAUCUUUGACGGCUAUCGUCACGAGAUCGAUCGCUACUUACAGGCUGUCGAUGAAGUCCAACAACGCCAUCCAGAUCUCCAUGGACCGACUCGCUUCUCGAUCCAAGCUCACCGACUCCUCCGACACCGCCACCGCCACCGCCUCCAUCCAGAAUGCUCUCAGCCGUCUCCUCCGACACCGCCACCGCCGCCACGCCCCUUCUCUGCCGCCUUCUCUACCGGAUCUGGGUUUGGAUUUAUCUGGGUUUCGAGCCAUGGAGAUCUUUUUCCGUCGUUGCUUCUUCUUUCCGCCACCAUAACCAUCGCUUCCCAAGUCCCUCCGCCACCACUCCCUGCUGCUUCUCUUGUUGCACAUGCUCCUCUGAUAGCCCUUCACAUAAUUAUUAAUAGUUAUGGAAAUUAAUACCUAAAUAAUUUAAAAAUAGAAAACUUUAUGAAAAGAGAAUUAGGGUGUAGACUAAUUAAAAGGCGAUUGCCAUCUCUGUCUUUCUGGCCACCCUUUAUGAGCAAAACUUUAGCUGGAAGAUUGAUUCCUCCGAUAUCGGCUCAAUCAGUGGCUCCGCCGGUGGUCAGAAUUUGAAUGGGAUGAAUUAAAUCAGAGAAAGAGAAAAUGAAAGAGGAUUUCAAAGUAAUUUUUGUUAGGUUUUAAAGUGAUUUGACAAAUUUGCCCUCAC
Molecule: long non-coding RNA, 1233 nt
Filed under: Panax ginseng (ginseng)
Lineage: Eukaryota; Viridiplantae; Streptophyta; Magnoliopsida; Apiales; Araliaceae
Description: long non-coding RNA (PGIN_LNC003808)
Source: RNAcentral